UUUUUUUUUUUUUUUUUUUUUUUUUUUUGGUGUCUUUCUAGGGCUGUGCCCACGGCAUAUGGAGGUUCCCAGGCUAGGGGUCUAAUUGGAGCUGUAGCCACUGGCCUACACUACAGUUCCCUACAACGCCUGAUCCUUAACCCACUGAGUGAGGCCAGGGAUUGAACCUGCAACCUCAUGAUUCCUAGUCCGAUUUGUUUCCACCGCACCAUGACAGCAACUCUCAAAUUUAAAUUCCUAAAGGAGGAAAAGCCAGUGAGAAUGAAGUCAUACCACAGAUGCUGGAAAAGCUCAUCCAUAAGCACCAUCUACCUCUGAGCAAAGAUCCCCACCCCACCUCCAUCACUAAGUCUAGCCUGCAUAGCUAGGCAGCGACCCCUCUCCGGUGAUAACAGCUGGGGGUUUAACCCCGGGAAAGAGUGAACCUGAGAGCAUCUUGAUGUGAGAUUACAGGGCAAAGCUGAGGGCAGUGGUGAGGAUGGAGCUGCAAGUGGGAAUCGAGUGGAAGUUCAAACUAAGUGUUGAGAUACCCUGCCCCCUUCGCUUGUAGAAUAUUCACAGCCAAGUUUACACCCUUAGGCAGGGGAUAGAAAUCUUCCUCUCUGGAGCAACGAGUGAAAAGAUCAACAUCACUGACACUUGGUGGCUUCCUGACACCUGAAAUCCUGAAAUCCUUCAAUCAACACGCCCUUCUAGAUGCAAAGCAUCCAAAAAGGGUUUUUGUUUGUUUGUUUUUGUUUUUUUUUUUGUCUUUCUGCCUUUUCUAGGGCUGAAUCCUCGGCAUAUUGAGGUUCCCAGGCUAGGGGUCUAAUCGGAGCUGUAGCUGCCAAGCCUACGCCAGAGCCACAGCAACGCAGGAUCCGAGCCGCAUCUGCAACCUACACCACAGCUCACGGCAAACGCCGGAUCCUUAACCCACUGAGCAAGGCCAGGGAUCGAACCCGCAACCUCAUGGUUCCUAGUCGGAUUCGUUAACCACUGUGCCACAACGGGAACUCCAAAACCCCCAAUAUUCUUCAAAAGUGUCAAAGUCAUAAAAGACAAGGAAAGACCGAACUGUCACAGCUUGGAGGCGAUUAAUGAUACGUGAAAGGACGUCAAUAGAAAGACUUGUGUGUGAAUAGUCCGUACUUAGUGGUAUUGUCACAAUGUCAGUUUCUUAGUUUUGAUAAUUGUACUUUGAUUUUGUAAGAUGUUAACAUCAGGGGAAGCCGGGUGAAGAAUCCAUGGGGAACUCUCCGGAUUAUCUGUGCAAAUCUUUGUAAGCCUAAAAUUAUUUCAAAAUAAGGUUUUGUUUUGUUUUUCUUUAGUGAAAACAGAAGUUUGUUUUUUUUUUUUUUUAAAGGCAUCAGAAGGGUUGGAAAAUAAAAAUGAGAAACUCUCCCACAUGGUAGAACAAAAAGGAAAAGAAGGAAAAUGAGAGGUUCUUACAAGGGAAUGCCCUUAUUAAUUAAGAGAUCUAGAAGUAAGAAAUGAAGAAACCAUUAUGGAAAUAAUACAAGAAACAUCCCAGAACAAAUUAUGAUUUUUGAGGUUGAAAGGAUCUCUGAGUGCUCAACACAAUAAUGAAAUCUGACUUACCAAGGCAUAUCCUUGUGAAAUUUCAGAACAGAGGAGACAAGAAGAAAAUCCAAAACCACCGACCAUGGCCACACUUUGAAUGGUCUUGAAAUCACCUUGAAUCAAAAAAUGUUUCCUGCCAGGGAUCAGUUAAAACAGAAGCUUUCUUUCAGGGAAUGCCUGCUGAGGGUUGAGAACCACGGUCCUAAAAGCUUCCAAAGAAAAGAAAAGUAGAUCACUUAGAAAAAGUCAGGAAUCAGUAUCACAACUUCCCAAGAGAGGCAGGGUAAACAAGAACCCCAGAACCCAGUGGAGCAAUGCCUUCUGAAAGAAAAUGUCUUCUCACCCGGAAUUCAGAUUCUAUUACCUAGACAGUCUGCUCUCAGCCAGCUACUUCUCCUCCUAAUAAUUCCACCUUGCCCUUUCCUAUCUGUUGCACCCUUCAGAGUUCUUUUCCUUGAGCCAUAAUAUCCAACCCCCAUCCCAGCCAUCCCUGACGCCAAAUGGGUAUUGUCUUGAGCUUUGACUCCAGCUGACCGGUCUGGUUUCUUGUAGCGCUGUGUUUGAUCCGAGCUCAGCGGCAAAUGGAGCCACAUUGGCAUUCAUUCGCUGUACCUGCCGUGGGCAUGAAGAGUGGCAGACUGCAAAGUCCAACUCAGAGCCCACUUUCUCCACGGAAUCUCAGAUUGCUCCAAUCCACCAUUCGCCUUUCCCUUUUCUGAGUGCCUGGCACACUUAGAGUGAUUUUCCUUCUUUGGCACCAUGUUAAUCUUCCCAGCUAGAUGGAGAGUCUUCAAGGACAGAGAUUGGGCCAUCACUGGGCAUUAUUUUGUGUUUUUUCCCUGCACCGAGGGCCAUGCUCUAGACACUGUAAAUGCUCAGAAUACAUUUGAUUGGUUUGUGGAGGUGAAAGUGAAGUGGAAAAUGUGCCCUCUGCAGGUAUGGAAGGAAAGCAUUCCUCUGAAAACUUCUACCACCUUGAUCUGACCUUUACAGAGCAAAUUAACAGAGGCUUCUUCAUAACAUUUAAUAUCCUCCCCGGACAUUCUUGUCUAUAUUAGGUCUUGGCAUCAUGAAAUAUUCAACUUUCAAAAAGGCCUACCUAUACCAAAAAAACAAAAAAACAAAAAACAAAAA
RNAcentral lists this long non-coding RNA (2697 nucleotides) under Sus scrofa (pig). RNAcentral's name for it is "lncRNA (ENSSSCG00045027104.1)". Lineage: Eukaryota; Metazoa; Chordata; Mammalia; Artiodactyla; Suidae. The record is from RNAcentral.